CAUAUACUCCCUCCGUCCUAAAAUUCUUGUGAUAGAUUCGUCUAGAUACGGAUGUAUCUAAUACUAAAAUGUGACUUGAUACAUCCAUAUUUAAACAAAUUUAAGACAAUAAUUUUAGGAUGGACGGAGUAUUUG
This is a non-coding RNA of Triticum aestivum (bread wheat), 135 nucleotides long. NCBI's taxonomy places the organism in Eukaryota, Viridiplantae, Streptophyta, Magnoliopsida, Poales, Poaceae. The record is from Rfam.